RNAcentral lists this long non-coding RNA (1142 nucleotides) under Cicer arietinum (chickpea). Its description in RNAcentral is "long non-coding RNA (CARI_LNC002896)". Lineage: Eukaryota; Viridiplantae; Streptophyta; Magnoliopsida; Fabales; Fabaceae. The record is from RNAcentral.
CUCUAUCCAUUAAAGAUGACAUACUGGAUAUACAAUUCUCUUAAUUUAAUGUUGCCAUGGUUGCGUAGCCUAUUUUGCAGUCCCUGAAUUUUACAAAUUACAAACUCUAAUAUAUACACCAAUGUAUAUGAAUCCUAAUGAUUGGUGGAAAGAGAAAAGGAAAUAAAAGCCGGCCUUUUAGCUACAAUAACAUCACAGAUAUAUGUUCAAAAGGGAUAUUGGAUGUGGAAUAUUCUAUUUCAAAAUAGUGCUAUUUGCACUUAUUUACAACACAUUUAUUGAUGAAUAUGCAGUCCAUCCAUCCUCCUGAUAAGUUUCUUUCUUACUUUAUACACAAGUUACUUGCAUAAUCAAAAGUGAAUUAAAAAAAGUCUUCCACACGAAAGAUUAAAUAAGAAAUCAGAAUUCAAGUUUCAUGUCUCAAUAUCUUGUUAUCAAAAAGGUCUUACGAAAUAAAUAAUCAUAAACAAACUUAAAUAAUUUUGAAAACCUAUCAGAUGAUAAGCAAUUAUGCAUUUAUUAAUAUUUAAAGGAAAUCAUUCAAAUUUGAUAUUGUACCCGACGAGGUGCAACUGAGAUAGUUAAAAAUCUGAAGCCAUGCAUAUCUUCAGGUCCUAACCAAAAUACAGCAGAUGGAGGAGGUUGCUCGGUUUGACUGCCAGAUUCAAGCUGUAACAGUAUUGCAUAUUCAAAGUUUUGAGUAAGCAUAUAAAAUUAACUAAACUUCUUCCUCCACAGAUAAUCUGAAACAAAGAUAAUGGCCUCAGUAGUUAUAAUUUUAAUGUACUAAAAAAGCUAAUUCAAACAGGAAAUAAUAAAUAAUUUGAAAGAGGCAUUAUAUACCUGCCGUGUUGCUGGACCUAAGGGAAUACGCAUCAUCUUUGAUGUCACUUCCAUAACCCUAUCAUUGAGAGGCAAACUUGAAGCUGAUUUCCCAUUUUCAGGCCACAAAUGAAGUCUGAUUCCAGAACAUGGCUCAAGAUUGGUCACUAACACAAAAUGACUUUUUCCAUUUGAACCCUACAUAUCCAGAUUAAAAGACUAAAAACCUGCACCAUGGCAUAAUUAUCUAUGAUGUAAAACAGACACUUAAAAAUAUGAAAAUCAGGAGUUCUUGGAGCUAGCAAAAUAAUUAGAAUACG